RNAcentral lists this ribosomal RNA (460 nucleotides) under uncultured bacterium. Its description in RNAcentral is "partial 16S ribosomal RNA". It matches the Rfam family "Bacterial small subunit ribosomal RNA", at positions 338 to 795 of the family's 1533-position model. The record is from RNAcentral.
CCUACGGGGUGCAGCAGUGAGGAAUAUUGGUCAAUGGACGAGAGUCUGAACAAGCCAAGUAGCGUGAAGGAUGACUGCCCUAUGGGUUGUAAACUUCUUUUAUAUGGGAAUAAAAUGUUCCACGUGUGGGAUUUUGUAUGUACCAUAUGAAUAAGGAUCGGCUAACUCCGUGCCAGCAGCCGCGGUAAUACGGAGGAUCCGAGCGUUAUCCGGAUUUAUUGGGUUUAAAGGGAGCGUAGGUGGAUUGUUAAGUCAGUUGUGAAAGUUUGCGGCUCAACCGUAAAAUUGCAGUUGAAACUGGCAGUCUUGAGUACAGUAGAGGUGGGCGGAAUUCGUGGUGUAGCGGUGAAAUGCUUAGAUAUCACGAAGAACUCCGAUUGCGAAGGCAGUUCACUGGACUGCAACUGACACUGAGGCUCGAAAGUGUGGGUAUCAAACAGGAUUAGAUACCCGGGUAGUC